Molecule: ribosomal RNA, 459 nt
Filed under: uncultured bacterium
Lineage: Bacteria
Description: partial 16S ribosomal RNA
Rfam family: Bacterial small subunit ribosomal RNA
Source: RNAcentral
CCUACGGGAGACAGCAGUGAGGAAUAUUGGUCAAUGGGAGAAAUCCUGAACCAGCCAAGCCGCGUGAGGGAAGACGGCCCUAUGGGUUGUAAACCUCUUUUGUCGGGGAACAAAACCCGGGACGUGUCCCGGACUGCGUGUAUCCGAGGAAAAAGCAUCGGCUAACUCCGUUCCAGCAGCCGCGGUAAUACGGGGGAUGCGAGCGUUAUCCGGAUUUUUUGGGUUUAAAGGGUGCGUAGGCGGUCCUUUAAGUCAGCGGUAAAAUUGCGGGGCUCAACCCCGUCGAGCCGGUGAAACUGGCAGCCUUGAGUGGGCGAGAAGAAGGCGGAAUGCGAGGUGUAGCGGUGAAAUGCAUAGAUAUCGCGCAGAACCCCGAUUGCGAAGGCAGCGUACCGGCGCCAGACUGACGCUGAGGCACGAAAGCGUGGGGAUCGAACAGGAUUAGAUACCCUGGUAGUC